Molecule: unclassified non-coding RNA, 224 nt
Filed under: Pseudomonas marginalis
Lineage: Bacteria; Pseudomonadati; Pseudomonadota; Gammaproteobacteria; Pseudomonadales; Pseudomonadaceae
Also listed under: 3 other names
Description: Pseudomonas sRNA P17
Rfam family: Pseudomonas sRNA P17
Source: RNAcentral
GUAAAGAACAAGUGGCACGUUCCAGUGACUAUCUCGAUGGGCAAUUGACCUUUCGCGAACGUCUGCUGGUGCGUCAUCACUUGAUGUUCUGCCCCAACUGCCGACGGUUUAUCCGCCAGAUGCGCCUGCUGCAGGCGACGUUGCGGAUGCUGCCGCAGGAACCGGUGAAGGAUGUGGAUGCCUUGGCGCAGCGGCUGGCUGCCGAGCGGCUCAAGGAUCAGAAA